Molecule: long non-coding RNA, 4630 nt
Organism: Culex quinquefasciatus (southern house mosquito)
Lineage: Eukaryota; Metazoa; Arthropoda; Insecta; Diptera; Culicidae
Exons: 3
Source: RefSeq, a predicted model, not a curated record
ACUUGCUUUAGGUUGCUUUAUUUAUAAAAAUCAUUUUGGAUUCUACUAAGUCAUGUUGAUGAGCCAAGGGUUUGAAACAUUUCAUACAGUGCGGGCUUGAUCGGGGUCAUAAGACUUCAUCGUCGGACUAAACCAACUCCGUGCUGUUUCGAAGCAAUUGCUUGUACUGGCCUUCAACGUUUUAACAACUCUAGCCUCCAGCGAUACAAUCACACUGUACUACUUCCAAUGCUGGUGAGACACAAAUCAAAAUAUUUACAAGUUAAAAUUAUUUACAAUAUUUACAUUACUUUUAUUUUUUUUUGUUUCCCGGGAAAUUUUCUUUCUACUCGCAUGCAAAAUCUACUAAAUUGUUUUUGGUAACUAAGCUUGAAUGGGUCGGGGUCAUAAGUUUUCAUCGUCGACCGAAGUCAACUCCUCUCUGUUUCAAGGUCGGAACCUUCUACUGACCAUCAACGUUUAAUUCAACUCCGGUCUCCAGCGAUCCCAUUCGUACAGCAAAGUUGAUUUUAUAAUUUUUCGUUUAGGCAUGCAAUUAAUUCAAAACAAAUUCAAAAAUACAUCACAAUACGUGAAUAAAAUAAAUUAAAAAUCCGGAUAAAAAAAAAUAUUUUCAAACGCGCGCGCAGUUACGGUUAUCAAUAUACCAGUAACGAUCAGUUGAAACGUUUCGCGUGUCGGAGUUCAUCUUCUCUUUUUAUCUUCUCUUUACUGAUAACGUUAUCGUUCUUUACUCAUGUGCGUGCUGUCAAGAUCGAUUUGUCAAGAUCUAAUCAAAUGUGCAGUGGUCAAACGUGGUUCGCAGCAACAAAAUUUGUGAUUCCAGAAAAUUAAGUGAAUUUUGAUCUUACCGGGCGUAAAAUUAUCGUUUUAAAAUCAAUCGAUCGAUGAUUAAGGGCCCUUUGAUCACUUCAGUAAUAAGUUUUACCUCGGUAGAUCACUAAUUCCAAAGUUAUCUUGGGUCACAAUUUUGUUGAUGCUAAAAUAUUUAUGAGGAAAAAAAAAAUGCGAAAAAAGGUAAGUUAAUUGAAAUACUAUUGCAGCUGUGUUGUGAAAACGUUCUACAAAGUAAAGUUCAAAUUAUGACACUAUGGGUUGAUCAAGAUCGAUCGACAACUACCUUGCACACACACCAUGCAUAAGCCAACAUCCCCUCCCAUUGUGUAUCGUUCAAUGAAGUGAUAACAACACUUUCAAGGUUAAGGACUGCGUCUGUUGCAUGUGUAUCGAAGAUACUCCUACACAAUUAACUCCAACUCCUACCAUUCCAAACAAAAUUUCCACAUGUGGUUGGGCUUUUCCCAAAAUCAACAAAACAAACAAAUUAAAAUUUUCUAAAACAACCAAUUAGGUAUACCAUGAAUGAAUCAAACUAUGCUGCGCAAUUCCAUGAAUGAAGCACCAAAUUAUGCUGCCCUGUGACGCUGUAAUCGCCGAACGGCGGAUUUCCAAAUGCUGUUGCCGGAAAAGCUCCUCGUUCAUCGCAGAAUCGUCAUGCUGGCUGCUCAUCUGACUACUUCCAUUCAUGCCUUCAAAUCGGCAGCUGAGAAGACACCUAGCGGCUUCCCAUUCAUAUCAGAGACUGCAUACGAGCUGGUCCCUUUCUUCGCUGUAAUGGUGCACGGCGUGUACGGUGGACCCAACUUCGCGUUGAAGUUGUCCCCUGCCGAUGACUGCUUGAAUGAACGUUUGAAGACCCGCUGACCGAUGUCGAAUGUAGGUACAACAGGUAAAGCCCAUUCAGAAGAAGAAGGUUCAAUGAUGUCAUCUCUCAGCAACAAGUCCACGGCACGAUGUAUUCUACGCUGGAUCUCCGGACUCCAGGGGUACGGAUUUUUCCUGACUGGAUCCGCUCCUUGGAACUCCUCCUUCAGCUCGAUUUUGUGCUCAAUGAGCCCCGUUUUGCCGAGAUUUCCAGGACUCGCUAAUCUGGUCGUCACCCUCGUCGAGCGUCUCGAUACUCUGGUGAACUGACGGACGAAUUCCAAACUUCUGCCAAAAAUCGUAUCCUAGGAUACAACGACGUUUUAGAUCUGGAGCAAUCAAAACAGGUAAGAUCUUCGUCUCUUCAUUGAAUGUAAUUGGUACAUCUGCACAACCUACGACGUUCAUCUGCUGUCCCGCAGCUGUCUUCAAUGACACUGCUGACUCUCUCACCUUCAGUCCUAAUGAAUGGAUCAAUUUUUCUCCUCCUUUGCCAAGAACAGUUCUUGCUGCUCCGCUAUCUAACAAUCCUACGACGGUAAUACCCAGAAACUCAACUCUCGCGAAUGGCCUGGGGUCAUUACUUAGGGUGACGAGUAAAGAAGCAAUCUCAUCAUCCUUCGUAACUUCUCCACUCACUCUCGAAUAGCCAAGUUCACUGAGUACCGCUUCGCAUCCAUCGUGAGGUCUUGUGUAGUUAGCACCGCGACUGUCUCGCCUCACUGAGCAGUCCGCUGCAAGUUUUUUUUCUCGCAGAACGGGCACGUUCGCGUAUCAAACCCAGGGAACCCACAACGUUCACAGAAGACGUUCCGAUUCUUCGGACAUUCGCUGAACCCGUGACCUUCUUCAUGGCAAUUGUAGCACACUCCUCUCUUGAUCGGAAUGUACGCUCUCACGAUCCGUUGAAGUGGGUCAGUUCCGCUUGGACCUUGAACUGGACUCUUCGACCGUUGCUGGUUGUCCUGUUUCGGUUUAGCUUUCUCCUCUCUUUGACUCUGCUCACGAUUCUUCGGCUGCUGAUGAUACUGUUGGUUACGCCGCUGAUACUGUUGUUGUUCCUGCUUGGGUGGACGUUGAUUCCAAUUCCCCUUCUGAAACCCUUUCACCUGCGGUUUCUGCUGCUGAUAGUAACCUCUACCAUCUUGGUUGUUGUUCUGGAACCUAUUUCCGUUUCCAUUUCCUCCGUACGGUCUACGUAGUUCUCCUACUUCUUCAACGUGUGCGGUACGAGGUGUGAACCUACUCUCCUUCCGUUUGUACAACUGCCAAUUAAUCGAGUCGAACCUCUUUCCAAACUCUUUCAUUGCAGCUAUGUCCUGGAUAUUUGCGGCGAGCAUAGCGAUCUGGCAAUCUUCGCGCGUGUUGCGGAACAGGGAGUCGAAUUUCCGUUUUUCGUCCCACUGCUGAGACAUGUUGCGGAAAAUUCUGGCCAUGUCCAGGUAGAAAUCGUGAAAUUUCUCCCGAGCACCCUGCUUCCGAUUGUACACCUGCCGCUCGUACACGUAGUCGAUAUCAAUGGGUAAGAACUCAUUCUUUAACUCCUUAACCAUGCGUCUCCACGUUCCAAGUUCAUUGUUCCCGUUCACCUCCAUGAACCACGAUCUGGCUUUGUGAGUGAACAGGUGGUGCGCACAUUGGAAAAGCUCCGCCUCGGAAAAUCCUUCUGAACGAGCGUUGAAUUCAACCUCUUUCAGGAACUCAUUCAGUCUGCGACCGUUGUCCAUUCCGUCGUAUCGUACUGUCCAUUUAUGAACCGGUAAACGGUUUCGGUUAUCUUUCAACUUUUCAUUCACAGACGACUGUUCGGGUUUGGACUUCAGUUUUUCCUUGUUAUUUUGUUCCGAGUCUCGAGAGUUAUCCAACGAGCCAACCUUUUCCUUCAACCACAUGAAGAAAUCGGGUUCUGCUUUUCCAGUUUCUCCUGAUUGCUUGCCGUUUUCGUUACUCGCGAUUUGAGUGCUGUUGGCGGCCGUGGCGGGAUCUUUUUCGGGUUGUUUCAACUCAAGAGUUUCGAUUCGCUUGAGUAAAGCACUCACAGCUAGUCGUAACUCCUGGUUCUGAUCGACCAAUUUUUGCUUUUCCUCACCAUCGUCGCCAGCAGUUCUCUUAUCGCUUUCACGCCUCUCAACAAGUGCUCCUGUUUGGUCACUCUUCUCAGUACCAUCGCCUCCUGUCCCAUUCUCGUCUCCUGGUGUAUUUUCCUCCAAUUGUUUCUUCGCCACCGUAAUGCUCUGAUUAAUCAACUCCCACUCAGCUGCUCUUACUUCCGGUAUUGGAGAAACAAUGGAGUAGUACACGCUCAACAGUCUAACUAUCUCCACAGCCACCACAGCCAACCUGUCCAAGUCUGCGUUUUCGGUGAUAUGUUUCCUCAAUCGUUCCAUCCUAAAUAACAUGUGGAUCAAUCUCGUUUUGUACACUUGACCAGGUGCUUUCGCCGCACGGCUGGUUUCCAAGUGGUUUUUGAUAAAAUCUAGUUUGUCCUCACACACACCUAGUUCUUCGUCUACCGAAUCACUCACAAACUCAUACGACACAUUAAGCUGCUUUCUUUCCUGUUUCAGAUGAUUGUACAACACCUUCUCCAGCUGACUGCGUGCUCCAUCCAGAGGCAACUUGCGGAUGUGCAACUCAUGGCUGAACUCAUCAAUCGUCAGGUGCGAUGCAUUCAUCCCAUAAUACUGCGACAGCAUAUGUUUCACCUCCAUUAUGGUAUCGUUUAGAAACACAACAAUUAAAAUUUAAAAAGAAAUACUAAAAAUUGGAAAACCUAAAAUUUAUUCACGCUUCCUAAAAGCAAUCAAGCACAAGUGCAAAUUGAAAAAUAGUGCCUAAGUAUCACAGAAGUAAUCAAUUAGAAAAUCCUAGAAAAUCAAGCAAAUUGUACAGGAUACAACAAAUUUAACGAAAAUAAACAACUGUU